Molecule: transfer RNA, 82 nt
Filed under: Lachnospiraceae bacterium
Lineage: Bacteria; Bacillati; Bacillota; Clostridia; Lachnospirales; Lachnospiraceae
Description: tRNA-Tyr
Rfam family: tRNA
About the family: Transfer RNA (tRNA) molecules are approximately 80 nucleotides in length. Their secondary structure includes four short double-helical elements and three loops (D, anti-codon, and T loops). Further hydrogen bonds mediate the characteristic L-shaped molecular structure. tRNAs have two regions of fundamental functional importance: the anti-codon, which is responsible for specific mRNA codon recognition, and the 3' end, to which the tRNAs corresponding amino acid is attached (by aminoacyl-tRNA synthetases). tRNAs cope with the degeneracy of the genetic code in two manners: having more than one tRNA (with a specific anti-codon) for a particular amino acid; and 'wobble' base-pairing, i.e. permitting non-standard base-pairing at the 3rd anti-codon position.
Source: RNAcentral
GGAUGGGUGGCCCAGCGGCGACGGCACCUGACUGUAAAUCAGGGACAUAGAAACACCGUAGGUUCGAGUCCUACCCCAUCCA